CUACGGGUGGCAGCAGUCGAGAAUAUUUAGCAAUGGACGAAAGUCUGACUAUGCGACGCCGCGUGCAGGAUGAAGGUUUUCGGAUUGUAAACUGCUUUUGUCAGGGGAGAAACCUGUAGCGUUAAUAGCGAUACAGCUGACGGUACCUGACGAAUAAGCCACGGCAAACUCCGUGCCAGCAGCCGCGGUAAUACGGAGGUGGCAAGCGUUACUCGGAAUUAUUGGGUGUAAAGGGCAGGUAGGUGGUCUUGUAAGUGAGGGGUGAAAUCCCACGGUUCAAUCGUGGAACUGCCUUUCAAACUGCAGGACUUGAGAGUGUUAGGGGAGAAUGGAAUUCCCGGUGUAAGGGUGAAAUCUGUAGAUAUCGGGAAGAACACCAACAGCGAAGGCAAUUCUCUGGGGCACUUCUGACGCUGAACUGCGAAAGCUAGGGUAGCAAACAGGAUUAGAUACCCUCGUAGUC
This 463-nucleotide ribosomal RNA is filed under the name uncultured bacterium. RNAcentral describes it as "partial 16S ribosomal RNA". It matches the Rfam family "Bacterial small subunit ribosomal RNA", at positions 339 to 795 of the family's 1533-position model. The record is from RNAcentral.